GGGCUACUAGCUCAACGGAAGAGCAUUCCCCUUCAAAAGUAUAUAGCUUUUUGUAUAUUUUUGAAGGGAAAUGAUAAGGUUCAACUCCUUAGUAGUCCACCA
This 102-nucleotide transfer RNA is filed under the name Clostridium sp. RNAcentral's name for it is "tRNA-OTHER". It matches the Rfam family "tRNA". From Rfam's summary of the family: Transfer RNA (tRNA) molecules are approximately 80 nucleotides in length. Their secondary structure includes four short double-helical elements and three loops (D, anti-codon, and T loops). Further hydrogen bonds mediate the characteristic L-shaped molecular structure. tRNAs have two regions of fundamental functional importance: the anti-codon, which is responsible for specific mRNA codon recognition, and the 3' end, to which the tRNAs corresponding amino acid is attached (by aminoacyl-tRNA synthetases). tRNAs cope with the degeneracy of the genetic code in two manners: having more than one tRNA (with a specific anti-codon) for a particular amino acid; and 'wobble' base-pairing, i.e. permitting non-standard base-pairing at the 3rd anti-codon position. The record is from RNAcentral. Lineage: Bacteria; Bacillati; Bacillota; Clostridia; Eubacteriales; Clostridiaceae.